AAUGCUCUUAUAGCUCAACUGCUGAAGUACAUUUAAAGUCCAUGCAAACCGUGUUAUAAAUAAUCCCUCCCUAAAGUCUAAGUAGCCUACAUCGAAUAGAUUAUACCCAUGGGCCUAGUCCAAUAGUCUGUACUCUCAAAAUAAAUAUCAAAAACAUUUUAUAACUUUUUCCAAAAACAAGUAUUAAAAUUUAUCGACUCGUUACAAUUUUCGAUUUUUCAGGGUUCGUUUUACCAGUGAAGUUACGAAGAUGACGUCUACGGGUUUUCUAUCCAGUUUCUCGUCAUCUUCCUCCUUGCAGCUCUGUUCUGCUUUCAACGGCGAGUAUGUAUCUUCGUCGAGGAGCUUCAUCGGAGCAGCUUCCUCUUCUCUAUCGCUGCUCUCGGGUUUGUAUCAUUAACUUCUCACAGUUCAUCGUUGAAAGAAUGUGAGGAUAAAAAGAUGUAGAUGAAGAACAUUAAAGAACAGAGAGAGAGAGAGAGAGAGAAAGUAGAUCUGAGAGAAACUAUAUUCCCUUAAAAUUCAAAUUGUGGAUCUAGAUACAAGUCUUUUAAAGGCAAGUUGCCUCAGUACACAAUACAAUAAAAUAUUUAUUGUUUAAAAUAUUCAACGGUCUCCUUCUUUCUUCUUCUUCUUCUUCUUCUUUGCUUCUCAAGUCUGGUCUUCUGC
Molecule: long non-coding RNA, 669 nt
Filed under: Brassica napus (rape)
Lineage: Eukaryota; Viridiplantae; Streptophyta; Magnoliopsida; Brassicales; Brassicaceae
Description: long non-coding RNA (BNAP_LNC021651)
Source: RNAcentral